AUGAACGCUGGCGGCGCGCCUAACACAUGCAAGUCGAACGAUUAAAGCACCUUCGGGUGUGUAUAAAGUGGCGAACGGCUGAGUAACACGUGGGCAACCUGCCCCUCUCAUUGGGAUAGCCACGGGAAACCGUGGAUAAUACCGAAUACUUCGGGACUUCCGCAUGGAAGACUCGAGAAAGCUCCGGCGGAGAGGGAUGGGCCCGCGGCCUGUUAGCUUGUUGGUGGGGUAAUGGCCUACCAAGGCAAUGAUGGGUAGCUGGGUUGAGAGACCGACCAGCCAGAUUGGGACUGAGACACGGCCCAGACUCCUACGGGAGGCAGCAGUGGGGAAUCUUGCACAAUGGGCGAAAGCCUGAUGCAGCGACGCCGCGUGCGGGAUGAAGGCCUUCGGGUUGUAAACCGCUUUCAGCAGGGACGAGGCGAAAGUGACGGUACCUGCAGAAGAAGCCCCGGCUAACUACGUG
RNAcentral lists this ribosomal RNA (466 nucleotides) under uncultured bacterium. RNAcentral describes it as "partial 16S ribosomal RNA". It matches the Rfam family "Bacterial small subunit ribosomal RNA", at positions 29 to 507 of the family's 1533-position model. The record is from RNAcentral.